GACGAACGCUGGCGGCGUGCCUAAUACAUGCAAGUUGAGCGAUGAAGAUUGGUGCUUGCACCAAUUUGGAGAGCAGCGAACGGGUGAGUAACGCGUGGGGAAUCUGCCUUUGAGCGGGGGACAACAUUUGGAAACGAAUGCUAAUACCGCAUAACAACUUUAAACAUAAGUUUUAAGUUUGAAAGAUGCAAUUGCAUCACUCAAAGAUGAUCCCGCGUUGUAUUAGCUAGUUGGUGAGGUAAAGGCUCACCAAGGCGAUGAUACAUAGCCGACCUGAGAGGGUGAUAGGCCACAUUGGGACGGAGACACGGCCCAAACGCCUACGGGAGGCAGCAGUAGGGAAUCUUCGGCAAUGGACGAAAGUCUGACCGAGCAACGCCGCGUGAGUGAAGAAGGUUGUCGGAUCGUAAAACUCUGUUGGUAGAGAAGAACGUUGGUGAGAGUGGAAAGCUCAUCAAGUGACGGUAACUACCCAGAAAGGGACGGCUAACUACGUG
RNAcentral lists this ribosomal RNA (497 nucleotides) under uncultured bacterium. Its description in RNAcentral is "partial 16S ribosomal RNA". It matches the Rfam family "Bacterial small subunit ribosomal RNA", at positions 28 to 507 of the family's 1533-position model. The record is from RNAcentral.